GGGGAAUUUUGGACAAUGGGCGUAAGCCUGAUCCAGCAAUGCCGCGUGAGUGAAGAAGGCCUUCGGGUUGUAAAGCUCUUUUGUCAGGGAAGAAACGGGCCUUUCUAAUACAGAGGCCUAAUGACGGUACCUGAAGAAUAAGCACCGGCUAACUACGUGCCAGCAGCCGCGGUAAUACGUAGGGUGCAAGCGUUAAUCGGAAUUACUGGGCGUAAAGCGUGCGCAGGCGGUUUUGUAAGACUGUCGUGAAAUCCCCGGGCUCAACCUGGGAAUGGCGAUGGUGACUGCAAGGCUAGAGUUUGGCAGAGGGGGGUAGAAUUCCACGUGUAGCAGUGAAAUGCGUAGAUAUGUGGAGGAACACCGAUGGCGAAGGCAGCCCCCUGGGUCAAAACUGACGCUCAUGCACGAAAGCGUGGGGAGCAAAC
RNAcentral lists this ribosomal RNA (425 nucleotides) under uncultured bacterium. RNAcentral's name for it is "bacterial SSU rRNA". It matches the Rfam family "Bacterial small subunit ribosomal RNA", at positions 356 to 773 of the family's 1533-position model. The record is from RNAcentral.